CCCCUAGAUGUUCUGGGCCGCACGCGCGCUACACUGAACAGUUCAACAAGUCUUAACCUUGGCCGAUAGGUCUGGGUAAUCUUUGAACGCUGUUCGUGAUUGGGAUAGACCUUUGCAAUUAUGGGUCUUCAACGAGGAAUUCCUAGUAAACGCAAGUCAUCAGCUUGCAUUGAUUACGUCCCUGUCCUUUGUACACACCGCCCGUCGCACCUACCGAUUGAAUGGUCCGGUGAAAUCUCGGGACGGCGGCUUGGUCGCUUGCGUCCGACUGCUGAAACUUGAUUAAACCAUAUCAUUUAGAGGAAGGUGAAGUCGUAACA
RNAcentral lists this ribosomal RNA (320 nucleotides) under uncultured eukaryote. RNAcentral's name for it is "partial 18S ribosomal RNA". It matches the Rfam family "Eukaryotic small subunit ribosomal RNA", at positions 1470 to 1796 of the family's 1831-position model. The record is from RNAcentral.